Molecule: long non-coding RNA, 2628 nt
Organism: Betta splendens (Siamese fighting fish)
Lineage: Eukaryota; Metazoa; Chordata; Actinopteri; Anabantiformes; Osphronemidae
Exons: 2
Source: RefSeq, a predicted model, not a curated record
GAAAAACGCCUAAUUCCGACAGACAAGUUUCACACGUAGAACCCAGUCUUUUGGAACUGCCGUGUCGAUUUUGUUUUUUACUCAAACCCCCAAAUUACGCGCGACGCCCAGCGUAUAGUGCGCACUUUGAUUUAGCCGGAUGAGCCUGUAAAUGCCUGUUUCUAUUUACUCUGGAACUAAUUAACCCACCAGGGGAAAUAUUGGCGAUAUUUAAGCUACAACAAGUAGAAAUCAAUAGAUUUUAAACAAAAUGGCACAUAUUUGUUUUACAAAUUAGUCUACACUAUAAAAUUCAACCAUUUUUUACGCCAUUUAGCCUCGUUUAGCCGGAUUUAAAUACUUUUUUAUCAAAACUAUAAACAUUUACAUUUUGCCUAUUUAACAUACCUCUAAAGACUUUUUACCUUUAGUGCCAUGUUUAUAUUGGGGGGGGGGGUCUGUUUUACGUCAAGGAAACCUCAGACGCAGGUGGAGCUGCUUAACAUAUAGCUGCAAAUAAGCCUAUAACACACAUUUUCAAAUGAGCACGUUUGCAUUAAUUUCACGGUGAAUUUGAUAUUUUUUUCUGUGCAACUUUUGCUUUGAUGUCGCCUAAUGAGCAGUUCCUCUCAAGCCCCCCUCCGCUCUGAUACUAACAUAUAUAAUAACCGCUCCUUUUUCUUGGGGCUACUGACCAUAUGAUUAAAGAUCCUCAGACAAUUCAAAAUAAAGUGCGCGUGACACAUCAAAUAACAAUAUGUCUGAGGUACAAUAGGUUAUUUUGCAGAUAGAAGGGUGGAUACCGAGAUAAACUGACAGUGUCUUUUAUCUCUGUUGUAAUAUGAGGCCUUGUAGGGUCCUCAAUAUAUGUAAAUUAUACAGUUUGCCUCUGAGGGCUGCGAUGUUCGAUUCGCAAAUAGGGAUAAAAUGCAAUUUCCGCUUAGAAUAAUGCAAUAGACAUUCAAAUCAUGUUUUGCACCACUUUCAGCACAUUUUUUUUGUCGUAACAGCAUUCAGAGAUUUCACGAAAAAGGCGAUGAAAAAUAAUUAUGGUUGCAAUCAAGUUACUACGAAAACCUAUUUGAUUAGCGGCCACACUUUACUCAAAUUGCAGCUAUAAAAUUAAGAACAAUUCGCCUGUAAUGAUUAUGGACUAGAUUUAUUUUGGGAGGGUGGAAUAAAAGUGGAUAUAGCAUAAAUUAUCCCCUAAUUACACGCCAGUGUCGCCUCAAUUAUCCUCUUAUCAAAAAUGGUUGUCUAAAUGCAGCGUUUAGUUUCAAUUUUCUCCAUUUCUGUAACAAGAACUUGGUACCUUGCUAUUAUCGUCAGCUACGGUUGUUAUUUACUUUGUGGGAUUUAAAAGUGCACAACCCAGCCGGAUAAUCAUUUUACAGCAGCGGACCAAGAGAGGAGCACACAGGGAGCAACGAGAGCCGAGCGAGACAUCCACAUGGAUUUGCUUCCUUCUUCCAAGGCUCUUUUAGAUAAAUUAAUUUUUUUUUUAAAUCGGGGUCCUCGUGUGUCUUCAGGGGGCUGCAGGCCCCUUCUCUCCUCUCCACCUCCCUCUUCACACCCACUCUCCCCACUCCCCUCAACCUCAGUCCCUGCUCCCUAACCCCCCCCCCCCCCCCCCCCCAUAUUGUAGGUACGCCUCCAUCUCCUCUUGGCAGUUCCAUCUCCUCCUCGCCUCCCCCUUUCUUUCCUCCCUCUCCCUGGCUGGUUUCCACAGCUGUGGUGAGUGAGGGGCAGAUGACCGGAGAAUUGGCCCCUGGGAGAGCGCUGAGCCAUCCUGGUGCUAUUAGGCUCGUGGCUAAUAAUAGGUGUUUCAGACCGGGGGAAGAUCAAUCAGGGGGAAUCAUGGGGAAUGUUCGGAGCAGCGCUUUUUACACAUCGGCCCAGAUGGAUGAAAUUACACUUGUCAGUUUUUAGUUGCAUUACUCCCAAAUUGGUUGUCUACUCUUUUUUUCCCUGCCUCCCUCCCUUGCACGCUCUCUCCUCUCUCCUUUUCUCUCUCUCUGCCCUCAUUCAUGUGUCAGUGGCUUGCUAAAUGGAUUCAGUGGUGAAAUCCCUGUCAUUUUUGUCUUUUCUCUGUUUAGCCCUCAGCCACCAACUUUGCUGCCUGCAUAUGUGCACUUAGGAGAAAUCAGUGUAUGAUCUUGUCUUAUGCCUCGGGCAAUUUCCAUGUUAAAGACGAGUGUAAGUGAUGUUUCCUGUGUGCGCUGCAUGAAUAAUGAACGUGUGAUUGAACCGAACAUAGGCAUUCAGAGGCGAGUUGAAACACUGAUGUGACUUUUCAGGCUGACCGUCCAAACGUCUUGAUGGUGGGUUUUGUUUUUUGCAACACUGUGAAUUCUAUUCCAUGGAACCGCUGGUCAUUAAACAAGACACAGGACGUGUCUGGGAAGUGCUGCUGGACAUUUACUGCUCCUUUGAAUGAAGCCUUUCACCUUGUUUAGCAUCCAUGUAUAUAAUUUAAAUGCAAUGUUAACAUACAGAUGAUGUAUGAACUGAUAACUGUGUAACGUGCAAUAAUUAUAUUUCAAGUGCAUGAGUCUAAUUGUAUUGUAAUUAAAUCUGUCAGGUGCAAAUGAAACCCUUACACUGUGUCUUGCUGUUUCAACACUGAAUAAAAUCCACCUAAAAACACUC